AGACGGGGGGGGCGAGCGUUGUUCGGAAUUACUGGGCGUAAAGGGCGCGCAGGCGGCUUGGGAAGUCUUGGGUGAAAGCCCCCAGCUCAACUGGGGAAUGGCCUGAGAAACCACUAGGCUUGAGUGCUGGAGAGGGAAGCGGAAUUCCCGGUGGAGCGGUGAAAUGCGUAGAUAUCGGGAGGAACACCAGAGGCGAAGGCGGCUUCCUGGACAGACACUGACGCUGAGGCGCGAAAGCUAGGGGAGCAAACGGGAUUAGAUACCCCGGUAGUCC
This 274-nucleotide ribosomal RNA is filed under the name uncultured bacterium. Its description in RNAcentral is "partial 16S ribosomal RNA". It matches the Rfam family "Bacterial small subunit ribosomal RNA", at positions 523 to 796 of the family's 1533-position model. The record is from RNAcentral.